UGGGGAAUCUUGGACAAUGGGCGCAAGCCUGAUCCAGCCAUGCCGCGUGGAUGAUGAAGGCCUUAGGGUUGUAAAAUCCUUUUCGUUGGGGACGAUAAUGACGGUACCCAAAGAAGAAGCUCCGGCUAACUUCGUGCCAGCAGCCGCGGUAAUACGAAGGGGGCUAGCGUUGUUCGGAUUUACUGGGCGUAAAGCGCGUGUAGGCGGACUUGUAAGUUGGGGGUGAAAUCCCGAGGCUCAACCUCGGAACUGCCUCCAAAACUACAAAUCUGGACCUAAGUAGAGGCAAGUGGAAUUGCGAGUGUAGAGGUGAAAUUCGUAGAUAUUCGCAGGAACACCAGUGGCGAAGGCGACUUGCUGGACUUAUGGUGACGCUGAGACGCGAAAGCGUGGGGAGCAAACAGGAUUAGAUACCCAAGUAGUCCCUGAGCGGGCUGGCAAGGCGCAU
Molecule: ribosomal RNA, 448 nt
Filed under: uncultured bacterium
Lineage: Bacteria
Description: bacterial SSU rRNA
Rfam family: Bacterial small subunit ribosomal RNA
Source: RNAcentral